RNAcentral lists this long non-coding RNA (202 nucleotides) under Prunus persica (peach). Its description in RNAcentral is "long non-coding RNA (PPER_LNC001285)". Lineage: Eukaryota; Viridiplantae; Streptophyta; Magnoliopsida; Rosales; Rosaceae. The record is from RNAcentral.
GAAAAGCAUACUUGGAUUGCAAGAUUUGGUUGCCGAAAACGUCUAAACGAGCUUCGUGAAAUUUCUCACGAAAAUCGGCCGAAUUUUCGUGUUUUCCAGUGAAUGCUGGCAGUUCCAACGACAAGGGAAAGGCAGGAUUGAGAGAGGGGGAGGUGGCGGUUCCAGCGGUACCGGCCUUGUGGCCAGUGAUGCGUUAUGGUGG